GCAAAUCCCGUAGGCCAGUGUAAUGAGACCGUUUGCGUGAGUUGGAGCCUGCGACGUGCGAUGGUGGGGUGGUGCUUUUGAAGCAUGUCUGUCGCUGAAAGGUGAAUUUCUUUUCUUCUUCCUGCUACUGGAAGAAUUUGCCUGCAGGGUUUGUGGUGAUAAAGUAUGUGUGAUUAGAAGUACAACCAGAAUAAGCUAGAUAAGUAGCGUUCUCGCACACCUCUUUAUCCUGUAAGUUAUCCUCUGCAGGGGAUUAGGUGUGUAAGACAAGCAUUAAGGCUUUAAUAGCAAACAAACUGCUUUCUCUGGCUAAUGGUACAUCUCUUGUAUCUCCAUGAUGUGGACACUCUUCAGCCUGGUUCUUGUCAGCUCCCUUUUUGUACUCAAAAGCGAAGCACUGCAGUGUUACACCUGUGUAGGUUCUAGCGAUGAAGACUGUAACAGACAAGGGACUCAGCAGUGUCCGGGGUAUUCUGAUGCGUGUGCGAUCAUUAGAGGACAAGCAAGUCCUUCUGCGAGCGGGCACGGAGGGACGGGGCCAGAGCACCUGGGAUGAGCGUUCACUGCUGCUACUCAAGCAACUGCAAUGCAAAAAGCCUGGCUUCAGGAGUCACCAGCUCCGUGAGCUACUUCUCUCUCCUUGUCUUGACAUUGUUGGGGCACCCGUUGUUGAAGUUGACAUGAAGAGGAGGAGUGGGGGGAAGAGUGUCCUGAAGCAACAAGUCUGCCUUUAUAGAAAAGGAUGAUUGCAUUUCCUAAUCGCAUUGCUCCAUGUACUAUAUUUCUCAGGCAAAAAAAAAGCAGUAGGCAGACCUGACAUGUUCAGAUAAAAAUUGUUUCAUCUGCUAAAUAUGUCUUGACCUAUACGUAAGUAACGCUGCCCUCUUCUUGUGUAUAAGGGGUUGAUUGUGUGAAUAUGUAACAUUUUCCUACAAUUUAGACAGUACAUAUAAAGAGAAAAAGAAAUCUUAGCUGCAAGUAGCCCCAUAGUAGGGUAAAGGAUCAGUAUCUUCCAAAUGCUGUUUACUGUUGGCAGACAUUCAAAAGCAAGCUAGAAUUUUCAAGCACAAAGUGACGGAAAAUUCUAGCAAGCAAAUUAGUCUUUCAGAGAACAUUUGCGAGCUUGACAAAACCAGAAAACUUGAAAUAAAGAUGAUUUAGUAUUAAUACA
RNAcentral lists this long non-coding RNA (1171 nucleotides) under Athene cunicularia (burrowing owl). RNAcentral's name for it is "lncRNA (ENSACUG00000010926.1)". Lineage: Eukaryota; Metazoa; Chordata; Aves; Strigiformes; Strigidae. The record is from RNAcentral.